This 325-nucleotide ribosomal RNA is filed under the name Libellula luctuosa (widow skimmer). Its description in RNAcentral is "partial 12S ribosomal RNA". The record is from RNAcentral. Lineage: Eukaryota; Metazoa; Arthropoda; Insecta; Odonata; Libellulidae.
AGUCAAACUAAUAAAGGAUUAAUUUUACUUUUAAAUCCACCUUCAUUAUACUCAAUAACAGUAUAAAUUCGUGUAAAUAAAUUUAUUGUAACCCAUCUCUACUUAUUUAUAAAUUGCACCUUGACCUGACAUAUUAUAAUUUGUAUUACUCGGAUAUUACCUCUAAAAAGAUACCCUGAUGACGGAGGUAUACAAAAUGAAUACAAAAAUAAGUAAUUACCUAUCGUGGAUUAUCAAUUACAGGACAGGUUCCUCUAAAAAGAAUAAAAUACCGCCAAAUUCUUUGGGUUUCAAGAACAUAACAUAUACUACCCAGGUUAAUAUU